UGAUGUUAGCGGCGGACGGGUGAGUAACACGUGGGUAACCUGCCUGUAAGACUGGGAUAACUCCGGGAAACCGGGGCUAAUACCGGAUGGUUGUUUGAACCGCAUGGUUCAGACAUAAAAGGUGGCUUCGGCUACCACUUACAGAUGGACCCGCGGCGCAUUAGCUAGUUGGUGAGGUAACGGCUCACCAAGGCAACGAUGCGUAGCCGACCUGAGAGGGUGAUCGGCCACACUGGGACUGAGACACGGCCCCAGACUCCUACGGGAGGCAGCAGUAGGGAAUCUUCCGCAAUGGACGAAAGUCUGACGGAGCAACGCCGCGUGAGUGAUGAAGGUUUUCGGAUCGUAAAGCUCUGUUGUUAGGGAAGAACAAGUGCCGUUCAAAUAGGGCGGCACCUUGACGGUACCUAACCAGAAAGCCACGGCUAACUACGUGCCAGCAGCCGCGGUAAUACGUAGGUGGCAAGCGUUGUCCGGAAUUAUUGGGCGUAAAGGGCUCGCAGGCGGUUUCUUAAGUCUGAUGUGAAAGCCCCCGGCUCAACCGGGGAGGGUCAUUGGAAACUGGGGAACUUGAGUGCAGAAGAGGAGAGUGGAAUUCCACGUGUAGCGGUGAAAUGCGUAGAGAUGUGGAGGAACACCAGUGGCGAAGGCGACUCUCUGGUCUGUAACUGACGCUGAGGAGCGAAAGCGUGGGGAGCGAACAGGAUUAGAUACCCUGGUAGUCCACGCCGUAAACGAUGAGUGCUAAGUGUUAGGGGGUUUCCGCCCCUUAGUGCUGCAGCUAACGCAUUAAGCACUCCGCCUGGGGAGUACGGUCGCAAGACUGAAACUCAAAGGAAUUGACGGGGGCCCGCACAAGCGGUGGAGCAUGUGGUUUAAUUCGAAGCAACGCGAAGAACCUUACCAGGUCUUGACAUCCUCUGACAAUCCUAGAGAUAGGANGUCCCCUUCGGGGGCAGAGUGACAGGUGGUGCAUGGUUGUCGUCAGCUCGUGUCGUGAGAUGUUGGGUUAAGUCCCGCAACGAGCGCAACCCUUGAUCUUAGUUGCCAGCAUUCAGUUGGGCACUCUAAGGUGACUGCCGGUGACAAACCGGAGGAAGGUGGGGGAUGACGUCAAAUCAUCAUGCCCCUUAUGACCUGGGCUACAC
This 1148-nucleotide ribosomal RNA is filed under the name Bacillus velezensis. RNAcentral describes it as "bacterial SSU rRNA". It matches the Rfam family "Bacterial small subunit ribosomal RNA", at positions 87 to 1219 of the family's 1533-position model. The record is from RNAcentral. Lineage: Bacteria; Bacillati; Bacillota; Bacilli; Caryophanales; Bacillaceae.